RNAcentral lists this ribosomal RNA (253 nucleotides) under uncultured bacterium. RNAcentral describes it as "partial 16S ribosomal RNA". It matches the Rfam family "Bacterial small subunit ribosomal RNA", at positions 524 to 776 of the family's 1533-position model. The record is from RNAcentral.
CACGUAGGGCGCAAGCGUUGUCCGGAAUUAUUGGGCGUAAAGCGCUCGUAGGCGGUCUGUUGCGUCCGCUGUGAAAACCCGGGGCUUAACCCCUGGCUUGCAGUGGAUACGGACAGACUAGAGGUAGGUAGGGGAGAAUGGAAUUCCCGGUGUAGCGGUGAAAUGCGCAGAUAUCGGGAGGAACACCGGUGGCGAAGGCGGUUCUCUGGGCCGUACCUGACGCUGAGGAGCGAAAGCGUGGGGAGCGAACAGG